Molecule: non-coding RNA, 978 nt
Organism: Homo sapiens (human)
Lineage: Eukaryota; Metazoa; Chordata; Mammalia; Primates; Hominidae
Source: RefSeq, a predicted model, not a curated record
CUGUUACUAGGGAUAGUUAGGAGAAAAGGGCAAGGUAGGAGGAGCAUGUGAGGCUUAGGGCUUUUAAGUUUGAAGACUCAGUGUUACAGGUUUUAAAAGGUAGCAGUUCUCAGUAUAUUCCAUUUUUUAAAAAAAAUGUACAAAUAUGGUCUUUUUAGAUGGAUGCAUGCAGUUCGUCAGAACUUAAAUACUGAGGAAGAAGUGGAAAAUGUAGCAGACAUUGGUUUUGAUUGUAACAUGUGCAGACCCUAUAUGCCUGCAUCUAAUGGUAACAGAAUAAUUUAAACUUGCCUUCCUCAGACUGCUGUGGAUCUUCACUUGUAGCACAAAUUGUCACAAAAGUAAAAAAGCUAGACCCACCCAAGACUUAUACCCAGGAUGAUGUGUGUUUGAUUGAAUCAGGGAUGACUCAGUUACAGAGCCUCACAGUUACAGUUCCAAGAAGAAAACUGUCAAAACCAAAACUGAAAUUGAAGAUUAUAAAUCAGAAUAGCGUGGCCGUCCUUCAGACCCCUCCAGACAUCCAAUCAGAACAUUCAAGGGAUGGUGAUAUGGAUGAUAGUCGAGGUAAUACUAAUUUAUUUUCCAUGAAAUUAGUGCAAGAAUUACAGCAUAUAAAGUAACUUUUGAAAUAUGUGUAUGAUUUACCAAAGGGUAAAUCACACUGACUUAGAUAACCCCGAUGUGACCCUUGCCAUCUCCAAAUGAGUGAUCUUCUUAGACCUUGCCUUUUCGGGUUCUCUUCCUUUCACACAUUUUAGAACAGACCUACCUUACAGAAAUCUCAAGGAGCACCAUAUCUUUGAAGAUCACAGGUGGGGAACUACAGAGGGCUUGACUUUAGUUUGCUAGAUAAUGACACAAACCUUCUCAGAUACUGUGAGCUUGGAUAAUACCAUGUUUAAGUUAAGGUAGUUGAUGCAUACAUUCUAGAAAUGGAAAAGCUGUCAUUUAAUAUUACUUCAGGUAUAACUUCAU